UACGUAGGGGGCAAGCGUUAUCCGGAUUUACUGGGUGUAAAGGGAGCGUAGACGGCUUAGCAAGUCAGAAGUGAAAACCCAAGGCUUAACCUUGGGACUGCUUUUGAAACUGUCAGGCUAGAGUGCAGGAGAGGUAAGCGGAAUUCCUAGUGUAGCGGUGAAAUGCGUAGAUAUUAGGAGGAACACCAGUGGCGAAGGCGGCUUACUGGACUGUAACUGACGUUGAGGCUCGAAAGCGUGGGGAGCAA
RNAcentral lists this ribosomal RNA (248 nucleotides) under uncultured Lachnospiraceae bacterium. Its description in RNAcentral is "partial 16S ribosomal RNA". It matches the Rfam family "Bacterial small subunit ribosomal RNA", at positions 524 to 771 of the family's 1533-position model. Lineage: Bacteria; Bacillati; Bacillota; Clostridia; Lachnospirales; Lachnospiraceae. The record is from RNAcentral.